GACGAACGCUGGCGGCGUGCCUAACACAUGCAAGUCGAACGGAGUUGAAAGGAGCUUGCUUUUUUCAACUCAGUGGCGGACGGGUGAGUAACGCGUGAGUAACCUGCCUUUCAGAGGGGGAUAACGUUCUGAAAAGAACGCUAAUACCGCAUAAGAUUGUAGUUUCGCAUGGAGCAGCAAUCAAAGGAGCAAUCCGCUGAAAGAUGGACUCGCGUCCGAUUAGAUAGUUGGCGGGGUAACGGCCCACCAAGUCGACGAUCGGUAGCCGGACUGAGAGGUUGAUCGGCCACAUUGGGACUGAGACACGGCCCAGACUCCUACGGGAGGCAGCAGUGAGGGAUAUUGGGCAAUGGGGGAAACCCUGACCCAGCAACGCCGCGUGAGGGAUGACGGUUUUCGGAUUGUAAACCUCUGUCCUCUGUGAAGAUAGUGACGGUA
This 438-nucleotide ribosomal RNA is filed under the name uncultured bacterium. RNAcentral's name for it is "bacterial SSU rRNA". It matches the Rfam family "Bacterial small subunit ribosomal RNA", at positions 28 to 477 of the family's 1533-position model. The record is from RNAcentral.